GUUCGGACUCCUUGGUGUUUUUCCAUACAAUACAAUGUAAAAUAUUUUGCCCCAUAACAGCCAUUUAUUUUUUCAUAUAAGACUUAAUAGCCCAUGAAAGGUCAUUUACCAAAAUUUUAGUAGAUUCUUGAUUUUCUUUCUUUUGUUUUGAGACCCAAAUUAUAUCAAUGCAAAUAUAAGGUAAAAGUCAGAGUCAGCCUUUUCCCGCCAUAUUUUAAAUCCAAAAUAUCUCGAAAAGAAGGUCCAUGACCUAUCAAUAUUUUUAGCUUAUCUUUAUCCUUAAUUGAUGCUCUACCAGUUUAUAGUAUCAAUUCUAAAUUCUUGAUUUAUUAAUUUUCACCUAACCUCAC
Molecule: long non-coding RNA, 350 nt
Filed under: Mytilus galloprovincialis (Mediterranean mussel)
Lineage: Eukaryota; Metazoa; Mollusca; Bivalvia; Mytilida; Mytilidae
Source: RNAcentral